GAAAAAAGUGGAUGAAGAUAGUAUUCAAAGGGGGAUUGGUGAUGAGGACGUGCCCCAAAAACCAUAUUCCGGCUUUGGUUUGUCUAGACAGGAGCGGGAAUGGGGUCGGAAAACGAAUAUUGAAACAAUUUUGACCACUACUCGUUCCGCGCUUUGUGACAUGGAUUGG
Molecule: non-coding RNA, 169 nt
Filed under: Mucochytrium quahogii
Lineage: Eukaryota; Bigyra; Thraustochytrida; Thraustochytriidae
Source: RNAcentral